RNAcentral lists this non-coding RNA (96 nucleotides) under uncultured Anaerotruncus sp. RNAcentral's name for it is "THF riboswitch". It matches the Rfam family "THF (Tetrahydrofolate) riboswitch aptamer". Rfam says of the family: THF riboswitch presents a pseudoknot that joins P1-P2 and the loop of P3 and two THF binding. The record is from RNAcentral. Lineage: Bacteria; Bacillati; Bacillota; Clostridia; Eubacteriales; Oscillospiraceae.
GCAGAGUAGGAACCGGCGCGUUAAGUGCCGCUUGGACGGGGAGUUGCCAGGCGGACGAAAAGGACCCCUUGCGGUGCCGUUUCCGCAUCCCGCUGC